CUACGUGCCAGCAGCCGCGGUAAUACGGAGGAUGCGAGCGUUAUCCGGAUUUAUUGGGUUUAAAGGGUGCGUAGGCGGCCUGUUAAGUCAGCGGUGAAAUCUAGGAGCUUAACUCCUAAAUUGCCAUUGAUACUGGCGGGCUUGAGUGUAGAUGAGGUAGGCGGAAUGCGUGGUGUAGCGGUGGAAUGCAUAGAUAUCACGCAGAACUCCGAUUGCGAAGGCAGCUUACUAAGGUACAACUGACGCUGAAGCACGAAAGCGUGGGUAUCAAACAGGAUUAGAUACCCUGGUAGUCCACGCAGUAAACGAUGAUAACUGGGCGUAUGCGAUAUACAGUAUGCUCCUAAGCGAAAGCGUUAAGUUAUCCACCUGGGGAGUACGCCGGCAACGGUGAAACUCAAAGGAAUUGACGGGGGCCCGCACAAGCGGAGGAACAUGUGGUUUAAUUCGAUGAUACGCGAGGAACCUUACCCGGGAUKAA
Molecule: ribosomal RNA, 481 nt
Filed under: uncultured bacterium
Lineage: Bacteria
Description: bacterial SSU rRNA
Rfam family: Bacterial small subunit ribosomal RNA
Source: RNAcentral